ACGGCCACAAAACGUUGAGACACCGGUUGUCGGACGAUCACUGAAGUUAAGCAACGUCGAGCCUGGUCAGUACCAAGAUGGGUAACCGCUUGGGAAUAACAGAUGCUGUAA
Non-coding RNA from Acanthosepion pharaonis, 111 nucleotides. The record is from the annotation of a GenBank genome assembly. Lineage: Eukaryota; Metazoa; Mollusca; Cephalopoda; Sepiida; Sepiidae.